GAAGAAUUCAAGAGGAGUUCUCGCGUUUUCCACAUGGCACACGACCCAAUUCGUCGAUCUUACAUAACCGACAACAUUGGAUCAUUCAUGCUCAGCUGAUCGUAAUACAUGCGCGCUGCCUCCAAUUAAAUGCGCGAUCACCGUGUCACCGAUGCAGUUGGCAUAAGAUUUUACAAAGUAAACAGAAUAAGCUUGAGACAAAGCGUAUACAGUUCGAUUUAGUCAAUCGACCGAUAACAGAGGACCCGAUACAGAAAGAAUUUGGCCUUGGCCUACUGUUUCACCAUUUGUUCAGGACAUGAAAGAACGAAUCAUCGUCGCAAAAGUCGAGCGUGAGCGUCGAUAGUCCAUUGCACAACGGUAGAAACGUGCCUACGAAUGUUCUCUACCGGCUGGUAGGCUUUAAUGGAGCGAUUCGUACCAUUUGUGAAUCAUGAUUAACACGAUUCGGUAUGCUCGACAUUGUGUCCCGUUUUUCCAACCAACUGAUGGAUCGCGUCUAGAGGCCUCCUGACCUACAUUAUUUUUCGCAACUCGACCCAUCUUUUCGUCAUUCAGUUAUAUAUAUUCGAGCGAAAGAAUAUCAGAGAAAAAAAUGUGAAACAAUGUAAUUAUAAGAAAUAGAAAAAAAUAACGAGAUAUGUUUGAGAGUAGAACUAUCUAAAGUUAUUUUUCGAUAGAGGACACUAUGUUAAGAGUGAAAGUUACAGUCAAUUUCAACAGCUCUCGAGAGUUUUAAUCUCUAAUAUAAGUAUUUUUACAUUGUCCUAAAAAUACGAAUCAAUAUAAAAAUAAAACUCUCAAGAAAAUUGUCAAAAUUUAUAUUUUCCUAGUGAUUAUCCGAUAGUAACUUUCACUCGCGCAAUUCUCACUCACGAAAAAUACUCUAGAGAGCAAUUCUCGAGAAUUUUAUUUUUAACUGUAUUUUCAUUCCCAAAAAAUAUUUAAAAAAUAAAGAUUUGAAAGUAUCUAUUAGUAUAUCUCGAUCACAAGGCAUCGAAAAACAAGGUGAUCGUAACUCGGAAAAUAAUAAUUCGAACUGAUUCAAUGAUCGAAGUUCCUUCUUCGGUUGUCUCGAUUACGUGAAAACAGUUUAUGGCGCAGGGACGGGGAGGGGAAUUUCUCAUCGAGCGGGCUACUGAAGCCCGGCCCAUGACGCGGGAGAAAGUUUCGGUAUGGACAAGAAUUACAGACUAUCGAAAUAAAUAAUAAUAAUUCUUCCAUAUGUAGCAAUCAAUUGUCUAACUUUAGACUAACUAAUUUUGCCCAAUUAUGAUUAUGAAAUAUAAUUCAUCUCGAUAAUUAUUAUCAAUUAAUUAUCCAAUAUGAUCAAUCACAAUGUAAAAUUUUUGUACAAAAUAUCUAUGUACAAUUUUAAAAUUAUUAAAUACGUUCAAAUAAAAUGAUUCAAUUCGAA
Molecule: long non-coding RNA, 1417 nt
Organism: Apis cerana (Asiatic honeybee)
Lineage: Eukaryota; Metazoa; Arthropoda; Insecta; Hymenoptera; Apidae
Source: RefSeq, a predicted model, not a curated record